CCGCGUCGCGUCACGUCGCAUCCAGGGCGCGGCCGCUGACGAACCACUUGGUGGCGACGGCGACGGCGACGGCGCGCAUUGGGUCACAAGCACAAGCACAAGCAGCCGCUGGGAGGGAGCAGCUGUCUGGGUCAAAGUGACACGGCCGGGCCGGGCAGAUACAGGCAGCGGGUUGGCUGGGACGGCAUCCCCGGUGAACUAAGUGGGCCGCGAAGGUGAUCAGGGCCUCGAGCUUUUGGCGCAAUGGUCUGCAUUCCUUGCAUCGUCAUUCCAGUCCUACUGUGGGUUUACAAGAAGUUCUUGGAGCCUAUUGUGUAUCCAUUCAUCUCCCCUUUUAUUUCCCGUCUGUGGCCUAAAGCUGUUAAAGAAGAAACGUCCACACCAAAAAUUGAAGCACAUAAUGGAACAUUUAAGUCUGACCAUUCAUCUAUGAAGGGAGAUGGGGAUUGCAUUAACAACACUGCAGAUGGCAUCAACACAAGAAUUAUCAGAUACUUCAGACAAAAAGACCGAUUAAGAUCUUCAUGAAGCCUUGAAUAAUAUGUUAUAAUAUUUAAAAGAAUAACUAAUUUUAUUGACCAGCUUAAAAUUAAUGUAUAAAAAUUCCAAUGUUUUGCUAUAUGUUAAACUUCAUUCCGAUUUGUUUAAUCAUUUCCUUUUAUGCAAUUCUGUAAUAUAUUUCUUUAGUUCUGUAAUUGUGGACAAAUAUCCCAUAAGUGUCUUGAUUGCUGCAUUAUGUUAGAGAUGUUAUUGCAUAGAUUAUAAUUCUUGGUUGAGAACACUAUAGUUGUACUGUAAUUAGUAAAGUGGCUCCUAAUUAAAUAUGAAUAAAAGCAUUCCCUUAUAGCUGCAAUAUUGGAUUACACCAAGAAUAUGGACAGCAACUCUUUGAUCAGUUCUCUUGUCCUUACUUGCAUGUAACUGGCUGUUCUGCUGGUGCAACUCAAUAUAAAAUGGUCUGUUUAAUCUGACAAUUGGCCCCUUUUUACUUUGUCAUUCAGUAUCUGCUAUGCAGAUAUUUCUGAGGGAACAUGUGGAUGGAUAUUUUAAUCCUGAAAAGAUAGUUGGGGGGGGAAAUAUAGAAGUUAGCUGAAAGUUCAGUAUUUGGGCAUUGCUGAACUUCAGAAUUGUCUUAGAUGGGGCAUAUCUAUUUUCAUUUGAGUGAUGCAAGGAGAUCAUAAAGUUUAUAGUUUGAUUUAAAUUUUCUGUAGGACUUAUCCUGCUACAUAUGAUAGCAUUUAGUGAAGAUGGUCAGUUGUUCCAGAUUUAUUACCCAUCUGCAUUGUGUUGACAUUAGCUGAGAUCAAAAUUCAAUAUAAAUAGUCCAGAUUUUGAGUUAGGACACCUACAUACCACCCUAAUUAUAAUUUAUAGUUAGGUGUUUCUGGAAGGAUUCAACUGGAUUGUUGUGUCCUUUAUUCUGAUGUAGCUAGGCCUGUAUGUGAAGACUAGCAAAGAGCGGAUGGUACUGAGCUAGCCAAGCAGGAGUUAGUAGCUUCAGGAGAGCUGAAAUAUACUUGAUGGAAAUUGGAUGAGAAUUUUAUAAGCCAACAGGGAGAACAUUUAUUCUGAGAUUCGCAGUAGAGUUCUAUUGGGUGAACAGCCAUUUCUCACCUAGCUAAACCUGGGAGUUGUGAAAUUCAACCUGUUUAAAAUAUCUUUGGCUUUAUUGCCAUCUUGUGGAGGUUUAUCAAUACUCUUGCAGUAAAUGUAAAAGUUGUGGGCAUGGUCUGCAGAUGCCCCUUUUGCAAAGCAGCGAAACUGGGCUUAUAAAGGACAUGGUGGUCUGUUCUUUUGAGGUUGCCCUGAAACCACAAUAGAAUUGUGAAACAAUAUCCUAGAGUGUUAGGAUAUGAAAAUGUUUUUUUCCCCUUCAUACUCUCUCUCUCCUCCUCUCUCACUUGUACCCUUGUACUCUGUCUCCCUGCAAUGAAUGUAUAUGGUAAUACCCACAUAGCCUUUUGUUCCAUUUGUGGAGCUUCAUUUGAAGAAACCUGGUGUAAUGAAUGUAUAUGGUAAUACCCACAUAGCCUUUUGUUCCAUUUGUGGAGCUUCAUUUGAAGAAACCUGGAAUUGAUUGUUUCUCAACCAGAGAUGUGCAAAUGGAAGAAUGAGGAAGAAAACAAGAAUUUUACUUUACAUAAAUUGGAUUUCAUGCAUAAUGUCAGAAGACAGUUUAAUUCGGAAUUUGUCACGGUAUUUUUGAAAUAAACAUAGUUGCAAUGUGUGGAAUACUUCAUCUUUGCGUACAUCAAUUAUCAUGGAUAAUUGAACUAUGAUGGUAAAAAAAAGUUUUGAAUCCGUCAUAUGGCUUAGGAGUCCAUUCAUCCAAUUGCUUCAGUGCUACGUCCUUCAAAGAAGAGUUCAAAUAUAUAAUAGUACCUUAAAAUAUAUACCCAAUUCCAUUACUGUUAAAUUUACUUUACCAACAUUUUAAACAAUCCAAAUCCAGAAACACUAACAUUGCCCAAGGAUAUCAAUGACAAAUUUUUACAAUAUUAUCAAACACUUUAUUCAGCCAAAACGACAGAUUGUCCUGCGAGAAUGGAAACAUUCUUACAGAAAUGUAAUUUUACAGGCUUAGAUCUGAAUGAGAGAGAAUUAUUAGGUGCUGAAAUAUCAGUAAAAGAUAUUGAAGAGUCCAUUAGAUCUUUGAAAAACGGAAAGGCUGCAGGUCCUAAUGGUUUAAACUCUGAAUUUUAUUAAAAAAUUUAAUGAUCUGAUCUCUCCACGUCUACAGACAUUAUAUAAUUAUGCUUUCACUCAACAGAAAUUGCCAGAAACUCUUAACGAAUCAACAAUAACACAUACCAAAAACGGAUAAGGAUCUUGAGUAAAGGUUACCCUUCAGAUUCCUUUUAAAUCUCUUCCCCUUCACGUUAAACCUAUGCCCUCUGGUCCUCGAUUCACCUACUCUGGGCAAGAGACUACAUCUACAUGACCUAUUCCUCUCAUGGUCUUAUACGGGUGAUUCUUCAGUAAGUGUCUACUUUUAUGUCCCGCUACUUUGAAAAUCUGUAAUUCUAUCCCUUUUCUUCUUUUUCUAUAUUGUUAAUAAACAUAAUCCUCAUGAAUAAAGAUUAAACCCUCAA
Amblyraja radiata (thorny skate) is the source of this 3092-nucleotide long non-coding RNA. RefSeq lists it as uncharacterized. The record is from RefSeq and is a predicted model, not a curated record. NCBI's taxonomy places the organism in Eukaryota, Metazoa, Chordata, Chondrichthyes, Rajiformes, Rajidae. The transcript has 3 exons.